CCUUUUCUGAAUUUCAAAUAAUAGGAAAGACUAUAAUUACUUUCUUUCUAGAAUGGCUUAACAUCUCGAGUAUAAGUAUUGUGACAUUUGGUCUGCAAGCUUUGACAAAAAGGAAUCUGACGCUAAUAUCAAUUACUGUUAUUAAUAAAUACAGGGUUACUUACUAUAAUCUCUCUCUGUCAGACGUCUGAAACAUAAAACAUAUUUACAUAUUAAACUCAUGACUCCCUCUUUUUUUCUUUCUCUUCAUUUGCAUAAAUAUAUAAGGGUUACUUACUAUAAAUGUUUUAUUUUUCUAAAUUAUUAGAAAAAGUCAGCUGUAUUCAACAAUGUAAGACUGAGUUACAACAUUUACAUCUAAAUUUCAAAAAAAUUGAAACAACCUUGCUUUCAGUGCUAUGUCCACUGAUUUAUUACAGAGUUCAUUGCUCAUGAAUAAAAUAAGUUCUGAUGUACUUUUAUUAUGCUUCAAAAUUCAGUUUUUUUCAAUGUGACUUUGGAAAUUCAACUCGGUUUAUGACAUAGGAUUUAAAAUUAAGUCUUAAUUCUGUAUCCUUUGCAAGAAGACAACUUAACAGAAUCUUAAAUUUCAC
This 593-nucleotide long non-coding RNA is filed under the name Mytilus galloprovincialis (Mediterranean mussel). Lineage: Eukaryota; Metazoa; Mollusca; Bivalvia; Mytilida; Mytilidae. The record is from RNAcentral.